Molecule: ribosomal RNA, 206 nt
Filed under: uncultured bacterium
Lineage: Bacteria
Description: partial 16S ribosomal RNA
Rfam family: Bacterial small subunit ribosomal RNA
Source: RNAcentral
CGCGUAGGUGGUUCGUUAAGUUGGAUGUGAAAUCCCCGGGCUCAACCUGGGAACUGCAUUCAAAACUGACGAGCUAGAGUAUGGUAGAGGGUGGUGGAAUUUCCUGUGUAGCGGUGAAAUGCGUAGAUAUAGGAAGGAACACCAGUGGCGAAGGCGACCACCUGGACUGAUACUGACACUGAGGUGCGAAAGCGUGGGAGCAAACA